UCAGCCUGGGCAGAAGUUGACAGAGAAAAGGAGGUGAGAGAAAAACAAGAUAUGAGAAAAAAAGGCAAAAUCCAAGAAUGAUUUGCACCGGACUGAGAAGAGCGUGAGAUGAAACCCAAAUUCUUAACUGGUUGAGUUCUAGAAAGAGCGAUGGUAGUAAUUUGGGGGAACUGGUGGUGCCGAGUUCACUUGAUUCUACUUUGAAAACUCUCAUUAAUUGUGCAUGGCUGUGCACAUACACACACCACAGAAACAAAAUUCCUGGAAUGGAAUUGCUUCAGCAAUAACUAAAGUCAAUGAAGAAAGUGAGGGACUUGUAAAAGUUUCCCAGCUGAUUCUGCCAACUGAAAUGCCUUUAUUGUGCUGUUUUGGUAAACAGAAUGAGUCUCAAAACUGAAAUCAGGAUUGUCCAAAUCAAUUUGAGGCCCUGUGUCUGUGUAAACUGAUUUCCGUGGCUACUCCUCCAUAAAUGACUUUGCUAUACUCUUCCUCCAAAAGGACUUGGAUCUAGGAUGGCCAUAGCAUCAG
This is a long non-coding RNA of Lagenorhynchus albirostris (white-beaked dolphin), 528 nucleotides long. RefSeq lists it as uncharacterized. The transcript has 4 exons. NCBI's taxonomy places the organism in Eukaryota, Metazoa, Chordata, Mammalia, Artiodactyla, Delphinidae. The record is from RefSeq and is a predicted model, not a curated record.